UACGGAGGAUGCGAGCGUUAUCCGGAUUUAUUGGGUUUAAAGGGUGCGUAGGCGGGAUGCCAAGUCAGCGGUAAAAAUGCGGUGCUCAACGCCGUCGAGCCGUUGAAACUGGCGUUCUUGAGUGGGCGAGAAGUAUGCGGAAUGCGUGGUGUAGCGGUGAAAUGCAUAGAUAUCACGCAGAACUCCGAUUGCGAAGGCGGCAUACCGGCGCCCUACUGACGCUGAGGCACGUAAGCGUGGGUAUCGAACAGG
Molecule: ribosomal RNA, 252 nt
Filed under: uncultured bacterium
Lineage: Bacteria
Description: partial 16S ribosomal RNA
Rfam family: Bacterial small subunit ribosomal RNA
Source: RNAcentral